This 253-nucleotide ribosomal RNA is filed under the name uncultured bacterium. RNAcentral describes it as "partial 16S ribosomal RNA". It matches the Rfam family "Bacterial small subunit ribosomal RNA", at positions 524 to 776 of the family's 1533-position model. The record is from RNAcentral.
GACGAACCGUGCGAACGUUGUUCGGAAUCACUGGGCUUAAAGGGCGCGUAGGCGGGUUCCCAAGUCCGGGGUGAAAUCUUUCGGCUCAACCGGAAAAUAGCCUUGGAUACUGGGAGUCUCGUGGGAGGUAAGGGCAGCGGGAACUUCCGGUGGAGCGGUGAAAUGCGUUGAUAUCGGAAGGAACGCCGGUGGCGAAAGCGCGCUGCUGGACCUCUGCUGACGCUGAGGCGCGAAAGCCAGGGGAGCAAACGGG